UCCGGUUUGUCACCGGCGGUCUCCUUAGAGUUCCCAACUUAAUGAUGGCAACUAAGGACAAGGGUUGCGCUCGUUGCGGGACUUAACCCAACAUCUCACGACACGAGCUGACGACAGCCAUGCAGCACCUCGACUCCACCCCCUUGCGGGGUACCGAUGUUUCCACCGGCGUUGAGAAGCCGUUCGAGCCCAGGUAAGGUUCUUCGCGUUGCGUCGAAUUGAACCACAUGCUCCACCGCUUGUGCGGGCCCCCGUCAAUUCCUUUGAGUUUCAGCCUUGCGACUGUACUCCCCAGGCGGCAUAUUUAACGCGUUAGCUCCGGCACGGAAGGAGUCGACACCUCCCACACCUAGCCCCCAUCGUUUACGGCAUGGACUAC
This 379-nucleotide unclassified non-coding RNA is filed under the name uncultured Bryobacterales bacterium. Its description in RNAcentral is "contains 16S-23S intergenic spacer region". Lineage: Bacteria; Pseudomonadati; Acidobacteriota; Terriglobia; Bryobacterales. The record is from RNAcentral.